This 253-nucleotide ribosomal RNA is filed under the name uncultured bacterium. RNAcentral's name for it is "partial 16S ribosomal RNA". It matches the Rfam family "Bacterial small subunit ribosomal RNA", at positions 524 to 776 of the family's 1533-position model. The record is from RNAcentral.
UACGUAGGGUGCGAGCGUUAAUCGGAAUUACUGGGCGUAAAGCGUGCGCAGGCGGUUUUGUAAGUCAGAUGUGAAAGCCCCGGGCUUAACCUGGGAAUGGCAUUUGGGACUGCAAGGCUUGAGUGCGGCAGAGGAGACUGGAAUUCCCGGUGUAGCAGUGAAAUGCGUAGAUAUCGGGAGGAAUACCGAUGGCGAAGGCAGGUCUCUGGGCUGACACUGACGCUCAUGCACGAAAGCGUGGGGAGCAAACAGG